CAUGGCGCCUGUUUAUCAAAAACAUGGUUUUUUGUACUAAUAGAAAAUCUGGUCUGCUCACUGCUAGUAGUAAAUAGCCGCAGUAUUUUGACUGUGCUAAGGUAGCAUAAUCAUUUGCCUUUUAAUUGAAGGCUAGUAUGAAUGGCUUAACGAGGUAUAAUCUGUCUCUAGAGAGGUUGUUGAAUUUAAUUAAUUAGUAAAAAGGCUAGUAUAGCACUGUAGGACGAUAAGACCCUAUUAAGCUUAAUUUUUGAAUUUUACUGGGGUGGUAUUUUAAGAUUAGAAACUUAAAUAAUAGGAUUGUUUCAUUUUUGACCCAAUAAUAUUGAGUGCAGGAUAAAGCUACUAUAGGGAUAACAGCUUCAUUUUUUUAUUGAGUUCUUAUUUUAAAAAGGGUUUGUGACCUCGAUGUUGAAUUAAAGAUUCUGCUUGGUGAAGUGGCUAAGUCAGAAAGUCUGUUCGACUUUUGAUUCUUUACGUGAUCUGAGUUCAGACCGGCCAUGG
This 504-nucleotide ribosomal RNA is filed under the name Liphistius maewongensis. RNAcentral's name for it is "partial large subunit ribosomal RNA". It matches the Rfam family "Bacterial large subunit ribosomal RNA", at positions 1791 to 2625 of the family's 2925-position model. Lineage: Eukaryota; Metazoa; Arthropoda; Arachnida; Araneae; Liphistiidae. The record is from RNAcentral.